AGAACGAACGCUGGCGGCAGGCCUCAAACAUGCAAGUCUAGGGGAUGUAGCAAUACAUCACCGGCGGACGGGUGCGUAACACGUGGGAAUAUACCUUUCGGUACGGAACAACUGCGGGAAACUGCAGCUAAUACCGUAUACGUCCUUACGGAGAAAGAUUUAUCGCCGAAGGAUUAGCCCGCGUUCGAUUAGCUAGUUGGUGAGGUAAUGGCUCACCAAGGCGACGAUCGAUAGCUGUUCUGAGAGGAAGAUCAGCCACACUGGGACUGAGACACGGCCCAGACUCCUACGGGAGGCAGCAGUUGGGAAUCUUGGACAAUGGGGGAAACCCUGAUCCAGCCAUGCCGCGUGAGUGAUGAAGGCCUUGGGUUGUAAAGCUCUUUUACCCGGGAAGAUAAUGACUGUACCGGGAGAAUAAGCUCCGGCUAACUUCGCGCCAGCAGCCGC
This 447-nucleotide ribosomal RNA is filed under the name uncultured bacterium. RNAcentral's name for it is "SSU rRNA". It matches the Rfam family "Bacterial small subunit ribosomal RNA", at positions 26 to 518 of the family's 1533-position model. The record is from RNAcentral.